This 2132-nucleotide ribosomal RNA is filed under the name Salmonella enterica subsp. enterica serovar Typhimurium. Its description in RNAcentral is "partial 23S ribosomal RNA". It matches the Rfam family "Bacterial large subunit ribosomal RNA", at positions 711 to 2739 of the family's 2925-position model. Lineage: Bacteria; Pseudomonadati; Pseudomonadota; Gammaproteobacteria; Enterobacterales; Enterobacteriaceae. The record is from RNAcentral.
AGACCCGAAACCCGGUGAUCUAGCCAUGGGCAGGUUGAAGGUUGGGUAACACUAACUGGAGGACCGAACCGACUAAUGUUGAAAAAUUAGCGGAUGACCUGUGGCUGGGGGUGAAAGGCCAAUCAAACCGGGAGAUAGCUGGUUCUCCCCGAAAGCUAUUUAGGUAGCGCCUCGUGAAUUCAUCUCCGGGGGUAGAGCACUGUUUCGGCUAGGGGGCCAUCCCGGCUUACCAACCCGAUGCAAACUGCGAAUACCGGAGAAUGUUAUCACGGGAGACACACGGCGGGUGCUAACGUCCGUCGUGAAGAGGGAAACAACCCAGACCGCCAGCUAAGGUCCCAAAGUCAUGGUUAAGUGGGAAACGAUGUGGGAAGGCCCAGACAGCCAGGAUGUUGGCUUAGAAGCAGCCAUCAUUUAAAGAAAGCGUAAUAGCUCACUGGUCGAGUCGGCCUGCGCGGAAGAUGUAACGGGGCUAAACCAUGCACCGAAGCUGCGGCAGCGAACGUAUCACCCAAGACAACUUUACGGAGUUGACGAUUGACGGAGCGAAGCGACGUCAAAGCGUUCAUUAAAGUCGAGUUGGCUUAGGGAUACGUUCGUUGGGUAGGGGAGCGUUCUGUAAGCCUGUGAAGGUGUGUCGUGAGGCAUGCUGGAGGUAUCAGAAGUGCGAAUGCUGACAUAAGUAACGAUAAAGCGGGUGAAAAGCCCGCUCGCCGGAAGACCAAGGGUUCCUGUCCAACGUUAAUCGGGGCAGGGUGAGUCGACCCCUAAGGCGAGGCCGAAAGGCGUAGUCGAUGGGAAACGGGUUAAUAUUCCCGUACUUGGUGUUACUGCGAAGGGGGGACGGAGAAGGCUAUGUUGGCCGGGCGACGGUUGUCCCGGUUUAAGCGUGUAGGUGUGUGUUCCAGGUAAAUCCGGUUCACUUUAACACUGAGGCGUGACGACGAGGCACUACGGUGCUGAAGCAACAAAUGCCCUGCUUCCAGGAAAAGCCUCUAAGCAUCAGGUAACAUCAAAUCGUACCCCAAACCGACACAGGUGGUCAGGUAGAGAAUACCAAGGCGCUUGAGAGAACUCGGGUGAAGGAACUAGGCAAAAUGGUGCCGUAACUUCGGGAGAAGGCACGCUGACACGUAGGUGAAGUGAUUUACUCAUGGAGCUGAAGUCAGUCGAAGAUACCAGCUGGCUGCAACUGUUUAUUAAAAACACAGCACUGUGCAAACACGAAAGUGGACGUAUACGGUGUGACGCCUGCCCGGUGCCGGAAGGUUAAUUGAUGGGGUCAGCGCAAGCGAAGCUCCUGAUCGAAGCCCCGGUAAACGGCGGCCGUAACUAUAACGGUCCUAAGGUAGCGAAAUUCCUUGUCGGGUAAGUUCCGACCUGCACGAAUGGCGUAAUGAUGGCCAGGCUGUCUCCACCCGAGACUCAGUGAAAUUGAACUCGCUGUGAAGAUGCAGUGUACCCGCGGCAAGACGGAAAGACCCCGUGAACCUUUACUAUAGCUUGACACUGAACAUUGAGCCUUGAUGUGUAGGAUAGGUGGGAGGCUUUGAAGUGUGGACGCCAGUCUGCAUGGAGCCGACCUUGAAAUACCACCCUUUAAUGUUUGAUGUUCUAACGUGGACCCGUAAUCCGGGUUGCGGACAGUGUCUGGUGGGUAGUUUGACUGGGGCGGUCUCCUCCUAAAGAGUAACGGAGGAGCACGAAGGUUGGCUAAUCCUGGUCGGACAUCAGGAGGUUAGUGCAAUGGCAUAAGCCAGCUUGACUGCGAGCGUGACGGCGCGAGCAGGUGCGAAAGCAGGUCAUAGUGAUCCGGUGGUUCUGAAUGGAAGGGCCAUCGCUCAACGGAUAAAAGGUACUCCGGGGAUAACAGGCUGAUACCGCCCAAGAGUUCAUAUCGACGGCGGUGUUUGGCACCUCGAUGUCGGCUCAUCACAUCCUGGGGCUGAAGUAGGUCCCAAGGGUAUGGCUGUUCGCCAUUUAAAGUGGUACGCGAGCUGGGUUUAGAACGUCGUGAGACAGUUCGGUCCCUAUCUGCCGUGGGCGCUGGAGAACUGAGGGGGGCUGCUCCUAGUACGAGAGGACCGGAGUGGACGCAUCACUGGUGUUCGGGUUGUCAUGCCAAUGGCACU